GCAGCUCGAAGACAGAUGGAUUUUGAGGAGGUGGACAGUGGCGCGGCAUCGCCACCGAGUACGUCGUCCGCCUCCACGACGCGCUCGCUGCUGACGCAACACCCGGUCGCCGCCACCGCCGCCGCCGCAUUCCCUGCGUCUUCUCUGUCUCUGGGAUGGCUCUCGUCGCGCAGCCCGAACGUCCCUUUAACAAUGUGCUUUAACUUCCUCGACGGCUCCUGCUACAGCAUGUGGGCGAUGCAACUCCUUCCCGUCUUCCUGCUCAAGACGUCAUCGAGCAUCAUUGUUGUGAGCUUUUCCGCCUCUGUAUGUAGCGCCGCGCAGCUGCUGGGAGCGCUUGUGGCCGGGUGCGUUGCCGACCGCCAGCCGCGGCAGCGCUCUAUUCGAGCAGGUGCCGGCUGUGCCAUGGUGGCACUCGCCGUCUUCGUUUGGGCUUUCUGGACUUCCCGCGUGUGGCUCAUCUUCGGCGCGCAGGCGCUGUGGGGCCUCUACACGGGUAUCACCUCGACCAGUGUGGAGGCGCUCUUCGCCGACAGCGUCCCUCAAGGACAGCGCACGGUCAUCUACAAUGUCAAGUGGGUCAUCCAGACGGUCUGCUACGUUGUCGGCUAUGGCGCGGCGGCGCUGCUCUUCUUUAAGUGGGGAAACUCGUGGGACCCGCGGCGCGUUCGCGUGGUGAUGACGCUCGGCGUGUUGGCACACCCAAUCGCCCUCGCGCCGCUGUGCUGCUUGCAGGACCGCUACGCUGUGAAGGAAGGGGACGAGGACAUUUCGCGUAGUAGCACGCAGCCCAACAUCGUGGCGGUCGAUGCGGCAUCCGCCGCAGAACGAGGCCGAGCGGCGGUGACCGCUACAGAAACCAAAGCUGUCGAGUCGCCUGUGCACUCGACCCUGCAGCCAACGACGCAGCAGCCGCCAGGUGCUGACUCCGUGUUGGCGGCUGGAUCGAUGGGCGUCGCCUUCUCCCAUGUCCCCACGGAUGGAGUUCGCCUCCGGUUCACGGAUGCGCUUCCGUUGAGCGCCUCCGCCGAGACCUUUGGAAGAGAAGGUUGCGAUGGCGACGCCGAAGACGUGCGGGAGAGAACAGCAACGACCGCGCACGCCGCGCUUAGGAAAGGCCUUCUCAGCGCACCUGUAAACGAUAGUGGCUCUUUUCAGCAGCAGCAACAGCAAAACUCAAGCAUCGUGUUACGGGACGACGGCGAAGGCGUGUCGUGGGUGCCCCGUAUUGUCGGCAGCCUCAGACACAGCCGCUGGCGUGGCUUGACGUCGGUGCCGUACUGGAUGUGCGUGGUCGAUCUCCUCCUCGCCAUCGGCUCCGGCAUGUCGGUGCCGUACUUCCCUGUGUUCUUGGCCUCUGAUCGCGAGAUCGGCCCCGCCGCUCUCAACGGCAUCUACAUCGCCUCCACCUUGCUGACCGCCGUCACCUCCAUGUGCCUGCCGUGGCUCAUUCACACCUGUGGGCUCGGCCGCGUCCCAGCAGCGCUGGGUGUGCGGCUUGUGGGCACAGCGGCACUCUUGAUGCUCACCACUGCCGCGACGUUGCCGGGCAUCAUCGCACUCUUUCUUUGCCGCAAUGCGCUCAUGAACUCCGUGUUUGGCAUCACCCGCAGCGUCAUCAUGGACUGCGUGACGAAGGACAGCCGCGCUAAGUGGUCGGCGCUCGAGAGCGUCUCGCUCGUUUCCUGGUCCGGCAGCGCCAUGAUUGGCGGUUACAUUACGAAGCAGCACGGCUACCGGUGCACCUUCGUCGCGACAGCGGUGCUUCAGUUCGUGGCAACGCUUCUCAUGAUACCGGCGGCUCUUGGCGCACGCGCGCUCGACGCCUCACUGAGUAAUGCGCCGCAGGUAGUGGAAGAUCUCACGCUGGCCGUCUCGCCGACAACACCCUAAGACACGGUUAACGAGGUGCGUGGCAGACGGCUCCGGCAUGUAAAGUGUGCGUCAGCGCAAGGCGGCAACAUCAUUUCUCGCGUAUUUCUUUGCGCACGUGGUGCAACGCACGAGAGGCGCAAGCAGGGUCUACCGCGCACCGACACACAUCAGCGUUUCAAGCAUUCAUCAACCCUGUCACGCCGCUGCUGCUUGCACUGCCGACGCUGGGGUUGCCACCGACCUUGCUCCGGUGUGCGCGUCGCGAUCGCCUCUUGCGGUCGAGCGCACAGGGCGCCCCCCG
This 2176-nucleotide unclassified non-coding RNA is filed under the name Leishmania donovani. RNAcentral's name for it is "gene:LdHU3.15.1200(CDS-product:Sugar_(and_other)_ transporter_putative)". The record is from RNAcentral. Lineage: Eukaryota; Euglenozoa; Kinetoplastea; Trypanosomatida; Trypanosomatidae.